ACUAUUUUGGCAGAUAAGUGCGGUAGAUUUAGAAUCUGUGAAUGUAAUUAUAAAAUUGCAAAUAGUA
Molecule: transfer RNA, 67 nt
Filed under: Pycnoscelus femapterus
Lineage: Eukaryota; Metazoa; Arthropoda; Insecta; Blattodea; Blaberidae
Description: tRNA-Leu
Source: RNAcentral